GUAGGUGAACCUGCGGAAGGAUCAUUGUCGAAACCUGCAAAAGCAGACCGCGAACACGUUCAAAACAACACCGGGGCCGCGGAUGGGGGGCAACUCCCACCCGGGGCGCCGACCCCGCCCGGCGCGCGAGCGUCGUGCGGGCUAACGAACUCGGGCGCGGAAUGCGCCAAGGAAAACGCAAAUGGAGCGUCCCCCUCCCCCUCGAGUCCCGUCCGCGGGGCGAGGCGGGGAGCAAGGGACGCCUAUCGAAUGUCUAAACGACUCUCGGCAACGGAUAUCUCGGCUCUCGCAUCGAUGAAGAACGUAGCGAAAUGCGAUACUUGGUGUGAAUUGCAGAAUCCCGUGAACCAUCGAGUCUUUGAACGCAAGUUGCGCCCGAAGCCAUUAGGCCGAGGGCACGUCUGCCUGGGCGUCACGCAUCGCGUCGCCCCCACUCCCCCCAAGGGGCGAGCGGGGGCGGAGAUUGGCCCCCCGUGCGCGCAGACGCGCGCGCGGCCGGCCCAAAUGCGAAUCCGCCGUCGACGCACGUCGCGACCAGUGGUGGUUGAAUCCUCAACUCGCGUGCUGUCGCGCACCAAUGCGCCGCCGGUCCGGAGACAUCGAAAGAACCCAACGGCGCGAGCGCACGCUCCGCGCCCACGACCGCGACCCCAGGUCAGGCGGGAUCACCC
Molecule: ribosomal RNA, 671 nt
Filed under: Lamium garganicum subsp. garganicum
Lineage: Eukaryota; Viridiplantae; Streptophyta; Magnoliopsida; Lamiales; Lamiaceae
Description: eukaryotic LSU rRNA
Rfam family: 5.8S ribosomal RNA (bases 260-415)
Source: RNAcentral